This 508-nucleotide ribosomal RNA is filed under the name Lacticaseibacillus rhamnosus. RNAcentral's name for it is "bacterial SSU rRNA". It matches the Rfam family "Bacterial small subunit ribosomal RNA", at positions 46 to 523 of the family's 1533-position model. Lineage: Bacteria; Bacillati; Bacillota; Bacilli; Lactobacillales; Lactobacillaceae. The record is from RNAcentral.
CUAUAAUGCAGUCGANGAGUUCUGAUUAUUGAAAGGUGCUUGCAUCUUGAUUUAAUUUUGAACGAGUGGCGGACGGGUGAGUAACACGUGGGUAACCUGCCCUUAAGUGGGGGAUAACAUUUGGAAACAGAUGCUAAUACCGCAUAAAUCCAAGAACCGCAUGGUUCUUGGCUGAAAGAUGGCGUAAGCUAUCGCUUUUGGAUGGACCCGCGGCGUAUUAGCUAGUUGGUGAGGUAACGGCUCACCAAGGCAAUGAUACGUAGCCGAACUGAGAGGUUGAUCGGCCACAUUGGGACUGAGACACGGCCCAAACUCCUACGGGAGGCAGCAGUAGGGAAUCUUCCACAAUGGACGCAAGUCUGAUGGAGCAACGCCGCGUGAGUGAAGAAGGCUUUCGGGUCGUAAAACUCUGUUGUUGGAGAAGAAUGGUCGGCAGAGUAACUGUUGUCGGCGUGACGGUAUCCAACCAGAAAGCCACGGCUAACUACGUGCCAGCCGNCCGCGGUAA